AAACGGGUUGUAGCUGUCCUUCGUAAGGAGGUACGUGCACGCCUUGCUCAUCCACUCUCAAACCCCUGUGCACUUUUUGUAGGCUUGGUGGGAUAGGCUGACUUCGGUCGGCUUUGAAUGCCUCGCCUAUGUAUUAAAACAAACGCUUCAGUUUAGAAUGUAACCUUGCAUAAUAAGCAAAUAAAUACAACUUUCAGCAACGGAUCUCUUGGCUCUCGCAUCGAUGAAGAACGCAGCGAAAUGCGAUAAGUAAUGUGAAUUGCAGAAUUCAGUGAAUCAUCGAAUCUUUGAACGCACCUUGCGCUCCUUGGUAUUCCGAGGAGCAUGCCUGUUUGAGUGUCAUGGUAUCAUCAACCUUCAACACUUUUGUGUCUGUAGGGCUUGGACUUGGAGGUCGUGUCGGCGUUCGCGUCGGCUCCUCUGAAAUGCAUUAGCGUGAAUCUUACGAAUCGCCCUCGGUGUGAUAAUUUCUACGCCGUAGACGUGCAGUAUAUAGUGUUCGUGCUUACAACCGUCUGCAAAGACAACAUCAUUGACAAUCUGACCUCAAAUCAGGUAGGACUACCCGCUGAACUUAAGCAUAUCAAUAAGCGGAGGAAAAGAAACUAACAAGGAUUCCCCUAGUAACUGCGAGUGAAGCGGGAAAAGCUCAAAUUUAAAAUCUGGCGGUCUUCGAUCGUCCGAGUUGUAGUCUGGAGAAGCGUCUUCCGCGCUGGACCGUGUACAAGUCUCUUGGAACAGAGCGUCGUAGAGGGUGAGAAUCUCCGUCUUUGACACGGACUACCAGUGCUUUGUGAUGCGCUCUCAAAGAGUCGAGUUGUUUGGGAAUGCAGCUCAAAA
Molecule: ribosomal RNA, 840 nt
Filed under: Phlebia cf. radiata RG-2014
Lineage: Eukaryota; Fungi; Basidiomycota; Agaricomycetes; Polyporales; Meruliaceae
Description: eukaryotic LSU rRNA
Rfam family: Eukaryotic large subunit ribosomal RNA (bases 542-840)
Source: RNAcentral